RNAcentral lists this ribosomal RNA (431 nucleotides) under uncultured bacterium. RNAcentral describes it as "partial 16S ribosomal RNA". It matches the Rfam family "Bacterial small subunit ribosomal RNA", at positions 29 to 507 of the family's 1533-position model. The record is from RNAcentral.
AACGAACGCUGGCGGCAGGCCUAACACAUGCAAGUCGAGCGCCCUUUCGGGGGUGCGGCGGACGGGUGGGUAACGCGUGGGAAUAUGCCCUUCUCUACGGAAUAGCCUCGGGAAACUGAGAGUAAUACCGUAUACGCCCUAUGGGGGAAAGGUUUAUCGGGGAAGGAUUAGCCCGCGUUGGAUUAGGUGGUUGGUGGGGUGAUGGCCUACCAAGCCGACGAUCCAUAGCUGGUUUGAGAGGAUGAUCAGCCACACUGGGACUGAGACACGGCCCAGACUCCUACGGGAGGCAGCAGUGGGGAGUCCUAGACGAUGGGGGCAACCCUGAUCUAGCCAUGCCGGGUGAGUGAUGAAGGCCUUAGGGUUGUAAAGCUCUUUCAGCUGGGAAGAUAAUGACGGUACCAGCAGAAGAAGCCCCGGCUAACUACGUG